CAGGCACAUGGAGUGUACUCCCUGCUAUGCAAAUCUUUGUGGGCUGCAUCUGGAACUCAGUUCAGAGGAGAAAACAAGGUCUUAUAUCCCAGCAUUCUGACAGUGCUCAACAGGCAGCCAGAUGACUUUGGGGUAGGUCAUCAGAGGCCAUGAAGGCAGCAACUCCUCAUCUUGACUGUCCCCAAGACACGUGGUAUUUGGCUCCUCCUCUCUGAGAGACACAUCCCCCAGUGGGCAUUGUGUUGGUUGUUAAACAUUUAUAGAAGAAUUAGUACCUGGAUUUGAUUGUUUUCAUGCUACCUCCCCAUAUACCGCCACAAUCAUGUCUUUUAGAUUGGAUUAGAUUGUUAUAUUGGAAGUCUGCAAGCAAGGACUGUGUUGUUUUUAAUCUUGGUAAAGAGCCUUCAGAAAUUUUCACGGCAAUCAUCAUCAAGUAUUUAGACUAAACUGCUUCUGAAGUUCCACUUAGGUUUAACAGCUAAUAAACAUUGACAGAUCUAUCAUCCAGGUGUAUCCACAGGUUCCGGACUUAUUACUAGAGUCUAUUUUCAGCAACAGUCCUGUGCUUCAGUUAUUAAACUGAAUGCUAAUGAUAAUACUGCAGACACCAUCUUUAAGAAGGCAAAAGGGAUGCAAACAGCUGAGUCACUGAAUAUCUCCAAGCAGAGCUCUGUUCAACAUUCGGGUUCUUUGUGGUGCUUGCUUUCAUUCUGAGGUGAGAAUUAUAUGACACUCAACAGUUUGGCUCACAUUGUAAUCUGAGCCACAGAAGAACUCCAUCCUACUCACCACCAACUAAUUUACUAAUUUAUUCACUCAACCCUUGACCCUUUCUUCACAUGAGAUGAGCCUGCAGACCCAUCUAGUCUGGCAUUCUGUUCCCAAAGUGGCCAUAUACAAUAUACCUGUGGGAAAGUGGCAAGCUGAACCCAAGUACAAGAGCAUUUUCCUUUCCAGAGGAUUCUAGCAAUUGCUAUUCAGAAGCAUUACUGCCUCUGACCAUGGAGCCAGAGCACAGCCACUGUGGCUACGAGCCAUUGAAAGCCUUGUCUUCCAUGAAUUUGUCCAGUCCUCUUCUAAAGCUACCCAAGUUGGUGGCCAUCACUGCCUCAUGGGAGCAAGUUCCAUAGUUUAACAAUGUGCUGUGUGUGAAGACAUACUUACUUUUAUCCAUGCAGAAUCACCCAGAGCUCCACUUCACUAUUAACCUUAUGGAACUGCAGUGUCUGUGGUUGUGGAGAGCAAGCAAGUAAGCCUUUCCCUCCAUCCCUGGCAGAUAGGUCACCGGUGAACUAACUCAGGUGGCAGGGAGAGAGGGAGGGACGCUGCCUCUGUUUCCAUCUCAGCAUCAACCAUCCAGGAAAGGGAAAGGGAGAGAGUUCUUCUGGUGCUGCUACUGCUACUAGUGUUACAGACAAACAGCCAGGUAAGAUGGUUUCAGAGGUGGGUGGUCAAUGAUAGCGAUUAAUAGGAGAAUUUGAAGAAAGGAAUCAGACCCUGUCAUGCCAUUCUUUCAAUGGAGUGGAGCUUGAAAAGGGAUUGUAACUAGACUGAGGGGGGGGGACACCUAGUUAUUUUCUGAUGUUUAGAGUAGAGAUGAGGAAGCUAUGGCCUUCCAGAUGUUUCUGGACUCCAACUCCUAUCAGUCCCAGUAAGCAUGGCCCACGAUCAGGGAUGAUGGGAGUUGUAUUCCAGAAACACCUGGAAGGCCAAAGAUUCUUCAUCCCUGCUUUAGGGGAAAUAGUUCGGUUUAUUUAUUUAAAUAUGCUGAAAGCAACUCCCCAAAAUGCUAAUGAAUACAUCAUUACAAUAAGAGCCAAAUACUAAAUCAUUUCAAGUACAGCAAUCCAACCAAUCACUCUGUUUGAUUAUCAGAACAUUAUAACAUUUUAAAGCCAUCAUGAAAUGAACUAUUGAUCAUGAAAGCAUAUCAUUGAUCAUAUAUUACAUGGGAUGGAAUUCAGCACAGCAGUAAAACAAUUGUUCCAUCAGCACAAGCAUUUCUACUUGACAGGUAGAAUGAUCUCCCCUUCCCCUCCACCUCUACCAUGUGCUGUUCUGGGGGUUCUGCUGAGGAGAUUUGGGCAGGAUGCAGGAGGUGUGUGAGGGGAGAGGAGGGGCAAGUCCAAUUGUACUAGCAGGACUCAUUGCACUGGCUUUUGCUAGCGCAACAACUUAGCUGAUUCUGGCCCAUAGCAAUUAAUAAAUCUAUACUAUCCACUGCAUAAAGUAUUUAUAGAGGCCCUUAAAGUGCACACUUUCCAUAGCAGCUUGAUCAUACAAAGUGCUUUAAAAAUCACCUCUUUAUCAGUCCUCCAUGUAGCCAGACACAAUUCUAAAUAAAGCCCAGGACAGGUGGGCUGAUCACUGCUUCCCAUCAUGCCAAGGCUGUGGAGCUAUUUGGUGGCUCAGUUGGUUUUAUAUAUUUAUUAUGAACAUGUAUGUCCUGCCUUUCUCCCUUUGUGGGACUGAAAGGGCCAUAUAUGAGACUCCCAGGAGGUCUUCUAUCCAAGCACCUAGAAGACCCAGCACCUAUUUAGUUCCACCAAGGUAGCCACAUGUGCUUUCAGGCUAUACCUUUACGAAUGGAAAAGAGCAAUAUCUUCUAGAAACAUAGAAAAUGUGUUCACAUCACCCCAGUGAGACCUAAGUUUCUCUGGAGAUUGGAAAUAUUCUCUCCCUAUAAUGACUGUAUUCACCAAGAUAAAAAACAAACAAACUUUGGGUUAAUAAAAAAGCACACUUGAAUAUAAUGAACAAUGACAACAGUUCUGUGCCCAGGCACAGUUCACUAGAGGGAGCACUAACACUAUUUCCUUCUCGACGGCAUCAUCUUUUUACAGAAAUGGUUGAAUUGUAGGUUGAUGUGUUUUCCAUUUCUAAAAUCUAAAUGACAAUAAUAAAUGGGCUGAGAAAUCACCAUAAUAUAAUUGGGGGAAGCUGUCUCUUCAAAAGAAAAUGGAAGUAUUUUGAUAAGUGUGGUUCUAUUAAAUAGAUCCUGAUUUGUAUGCUGAGGGACCAACCUUUGUGAAGCUGACUGGUUGAUGUUUCCCUUCAUAGUUAAUCAGGGACUGGAUCAAAGUAUGCUAAAUGUUCCUUCCUGAAAGGGAAAUCUUUCUCCCCAGCCUUUGGAAGGAGACACCCUACAGGUGAGGGGAAGGGCAGGAAAGUAGUUUAGAGGUAGUUUGCAGCUUGAACUGGGAGGCAGAAAAAGAGAAUGAGCAAGCUGUGAUAUGGCCAGAGAUUAAACAUCUCAAGAAUGUGGGAGCUCUCUUAAGGAAGCCAAUGUGGGAAGGAACAGAAGCUCUUCUACCUGCCACUACGAUUCUGCAUGAGUAGUAGAUGGCAUAGAAGUGCUGCUCACUUGAUCACCCUCUGACUGAGCUGUUGCUGCUGCAAACUGGGGUGUUGAAGGGAAAGGGACGAGGUGGCUGCAAGGUUGGCACAGUGCAAACACACCAGCAAAGCCAAUCCAGUGUUCCUGCUGGCGCAUUUGCACCAUGCUGAACUCACUGUACUAUUCCAUCAAGCUGUCCACUACUGCCUGAUUAAUUUCAGCAGGGCCAGUUUGCAUAUUUGCAAAUAAAACAAAUACUGCAAGUCUUCAGUGUGCUCUCAUCUAAAGGAUACUUAACCUUUUAGUAUUACUACUGGAUUUCUCACCACUUGGGGAAAUGAAGAACAUGUGUGCUACUGGCCUUGGAUAAAUCCUAGCGACAUUCCAUAAUGUAUUUUUAUUAGGUGAAGAGCACUCAGCAAAACACUCUCUUCCUCCAGUGCUUAGAAGCAAGAAGUUUAAGAUAUCUCCUGAUGUACGAUGACCAUAAGUCCUGUUCUACCAAGGAUAGUCCUCAUUUGCAGGGUUGUCAGAGAACAACCCUCUCCUGAAGAAGUCAUCUGAAGUACUAUCCUAGAACUAUAGAAACAUAAAGUUUGAAGGGACCCUGAGGGUCAUCUCGUCCAACCCCUUCCAAUGAUGGAAUCACAGUUAAAGAAUCCCUGACAUAUGGCAAUCCAAAUACUGUUUAUCCCCUCAAAUACUUUAAAAAAAAUUUCCGGUGAAUGAGAGUCCACCACCUUCCUAGAUAGUCGGUUUCACAAUCAGAAAUAUCUUCCAAAUGUUUCGUCAGAAUCUUCUUUCUUGUAAUUUGAAUCCAUUACUCCAUCUUUCAUGUGACAGUCCUUCAGAUAUUUGAAGAUGGCUGUCAUAUCACCUCUUUUCCAGACUAAACAUACCCAGCUUCCUUCCUGCCCUAGUCCAGUGAGCAGGGGCCUCUAAUUUGCACAUCAACCUAGACAGCAGACUGAAGUCAGCUGGGCUGAAGGCAAAGAAGUCAGCUGCUCAGAGUCCUCCCCACUUUGUUGAGAUGUUUUCUAUUAAAGUUACAGGCACUAUUUCUGAAUGUGCUACAAAUAUAAAUUAGCAUAUUAAAAUUUAAUGCUGACUGGCAUCCUCCUCCUCACUGGUGGUGCCCCAACUGUGGAAUUCUCCCCCAUCUAAAAUAUGGAUGGCUCCAUCCCUUGUCACCUUUAGAUGAAAGCUGAAGAGGGCAUCUAUUCAUUUAGGCAUUUGAUGGGCAUUGGUGUCUGUUGUGAUUGUGUUUUAACUUCCUGGUUGUAAUACGAGCAGAAGCUGGUUGCUGGAUGGGACUCUGCUGCUUACCAGAUGGGAAGGAAGGAGACUGUGGGAGGUUGGCGCAGUGCAAAUGCACUACGGGGAGCACCAGAUUGACUCCACCAAUGUGUGUGUGUUUUAUGCUCGCCCGCUCUGAUAUUGUUUUGCAAUGAAGGGCAGGUAACAAAUUUGUCAGAUCAUCAGUUAAAAUUAAGCAGUUUACACAAUGAGUCUUUUAAAAGCUGGUGACAUAUUUCCAUCCCCAAGAGUCAACUUUUGUCCAUAUUUUCUUGUCCUGGAGUACCUAAGGCUGCUCCUUUUCUGCGCACCUAAUGAGUCCUUUGCAGGCUGCUGCUUUUGUGUUCUAGUGAUUCAGUCGAAGUCACUUGUGGCAUGAAAUGCCACUCAUCAUUCAUAGUGGGUGAUAUAUUUCUCUCUGUAUCUCUCUUCCUAUAUAUACUAACAGCUCUUUUGUGUAUAUAUAUUUUCUCUGGCACUUGCAAGUGUACCAGUUUCUUUCAAAACAGACCACUCAAUCAUGAAGAACGAUCUGUGUGGCACAGGAAGCACUACAUUUCUUUCUCUUUCAGUUCUUCAGAAGGGCUGGGUACCAAUUUUCCCCCAUCAGCUCCACCAGGGAAUAUGCAUUGUAUAAUGAUAUACAAAUCAAGUGAAUCUAGCCCCUUCUUUUCGGACAGCUGCUUGAAGAUAAAGUAAACCAACCCUCCAUGUAGAGAUGGCCUUUGACUGGAAAGAUGAGGCCUAAGGGAAAAGGCUGGGAGGAGAGCUGAGGGCAACAGCAAGGUGAAAGGGUUGAUGAAGAAUCUAGAAUGCCUAGGGAUGGAUGUGCAUGAUAAUCUGAAAAGGAGCUUAUUGAGGUCCAACCAGGGCUCAGUUAGAAGCAUUGAGAAGAAGUAAGGAAACAGAACCAAGGUAACUGGAUAGCGUAAUUAUUGGAACUGGGGGAGGGAAACCAGUCUGGUGUAGUGGUUAGAACAUCUGAAUAGUUUCCUCAGACAUUACUGCAUUGUCAGUGAUCUUCAGAUUACAGGCUUUCCUACCAUUCAUUGGUGCCCUUUAGUUGCUGGGUUUUGUAAAGAAGGAUCGUGGGAUCCUAAUACGACUAAAAUUAAGGGAAAGCAGAGGUUGGCCUUGCAGGUUUCAUUCAGGGUCUUCCUCACUUUACUCCCCACCCCCUGUAAAUGCAAGUCUUGGUGGUUGGGUGUCACUGAACUUGCUCUAUGAACACAUUGCAGGAGAAUUUGUGCAAUAUUUUUCUAAUUUUCUUUUUUUACAAGACUUUUACAAAGAUGCCCAGGGAAAUAUGAAAUAUUACUUUUACUGCCAGAGUGAAAUAUUCAAUAGAAGCAACUACAGCAUGAAACAAAGUGUUCUUCUGAAUACUUUUGGGAUAUAUUUUUUUUUUAAAAAGGAAAGAACCUGAGGUUGGAAUUUUUAUAUACUUUUAGCGGUUAAAAGCAAGUCAAUAUAGUUUGCUAAAGGAACAGGAGCAAACAGUCAUGAAUAAAGAGCAUGACAGCAAGUAAGAAAUCUUCUGUGACUUCUGAAUUCACCUUUAUAAAUAUUGUACAUUGUGCCACAUUCUCUGUAAUCAAAAUGGAACAAGUGUUUCCUUCCUCACCUCUCAAAUACGUACAAAACUGAAUAGACAUGAUCUGUCUGAAUAGAAUAGCUCUGAGCUCUUUUGAGAUGUUCAUCUUCUGGGGUCAACCAGUAUAGAAGAGUGGGAAGGCAAGGGUGACAGUUUUGUCUCUCAUCAUCUUUCCAUCACCCUCCAUGAAUUAAAGGGUGACUAUCUGCAGCAGGGGGCCAGCUCUACUUGUGUUUUCUCUCUGUGCAGUGUGAAAGCCUUGGAAAUUAGGGUUCUAUAUAGUGAUGGGCGGAGCCAACCAGGGGCCCACCAGUGAAUAGAGCCUUGCUGGUGGACUGCGUAUUGGCCGCAGCCACAGCGGUCAACCAGCAAUGCAUAAAAUCCAUCUGCACCUGACUCCCUCACUUUCAUGCUCCUGUAAUUGUGCAUCAUUAGCCUUUUAUUGCAUUUAAAGUCAAGGCUUUUGUUAUAAAAUUUAACCCUAUUUUGCUUCCUAGGUUCCUUGUUUAACCAUGGUUUUGCUUCCUUUAUUGCCCAACCUUGCUAUGGUGGCCAGUGGUGGCCAGGAAGGAAUUUGCCUGCAGACAAACUGGUCUGUCUGGAGGUUUUGGUUUACACAUAGCGAAACAUCACAACCUUUGGUGGUUGAGGCACUGAGUGGAAUCCUAGUCAUUAAGCUUUUGAGUGAAGUGGUGCCUCAUCCUGUCAUGAACCAGCAGUGUAGUCAGGGUACUCCUUAGAGGAAUCUCAAUGGAAGUCUCUGUCCAGAAGCCAAAUGGGGGCCAUAAAACUUCCAGUGACAGUCUUUGGAGGGCCACCUUGGUAGAUUGGCAUCACGGGGAGGCCCUAAUCCUUGGCAUCACCCUAAGUUUCAGCCCUCCAGCAGGAAGCUAGAACAGAUAUACACCAAAUGCCUGAGCCAAAAUUCUAUCUACAUCUGUAAUCAAUAAAGUUCUUGCCAUUUUUAAUCCAGCUCGGUGUCUGCUAGAGUUUCUUUAUCACACCUUAGCUAUACCUGCUGCGCAGGGAAGGGUGACACUGCAAAUAGCGAUGUAACCCAGAGGAUGAACACCAGAAUAGGGCUAGCAUCUUUCUGGUUUUUUUAUAAAGCCCCUGUUUUGUAUAUUAUAUAUAUUCUCUCUAUUAUGCUGUGCUUGAUCUAAACAUUGUUUGUUGGUUAAAUAUCAUUAUCUGCUCUUUUUGUUUGUUGAUUUUUAGGGUUGUUUACAGGAUCUUGAAAGUUAGGGCUUGCAGCACUGCAUAACAACAUGCUUUACAUGCAGAAAGUCUCAGGACCAGAGGCAGCUGGUGGAGAGGAGUUGUGCUGCACACCUAACCCCUAGUCAACCAUGUUGCUGUGCUUACUGGAAAGGAAAGGACGAGAUGGCUAGGAGGUCAGUGCAGUGGAAGCCCAGAGGCGCAAGCCGCUGAUAGGUUCUGCUGUUGUGUGUUCACUGUGCUGACCUCUCCCUCCUAAUAAGCACAGUGGUGCAGCUGACGGGUGGCUGUGUGCAUGGUAAUGUCCCUCUCUGCUCUGGCAUCUUAAAUCAAAACAAUUGAUAUAGCAGGACUUGGAGGGGGGACCCUGGUGAGAAUGAUAAUAAUAAUAAUAAUAAUAAUAAUAAUAAUAAUAAUAAUUUAUUAUUUAUACCCCGCCCAUCUGGCUGGGCUUCCCCGGCCACUCUGGGCGGCUUCCAAAAGAAUAUUAAAAUACUAUAAUACAUCAAACAUUAAAAGCUUCCCGAAACAGGGCUGCCUUCAGAUGUCUUCUAAAAGCCUGGUAGUUGUUGUUCUCUUUGACAUCUGGUGGGAGGGUGUUCCACAGGCAAGGCGCCACUACCGAGAAGGCCCUCUGCCUGGUUCCCUGUAACUUGGCUUCUCGCAGUGAGGGAACCGCCAGAAGGCCCUCGGUGCUGGACCUCAGUGUCCGGGUAGAACGAUGGGGGUGGAGACGCUCCUUCAGAUAUACUGGACCAAGGCCAUUUAAGAAUAAGAUAAGAAUUAUCUGUGACAUAUCCUUAGUCCACAGAACUACAUCUCCCAAGCUUCCCUGGGGAGAGAAAAUUAAUACUAUACUUCUUUCAGUCUUUAGUGUAUAUGUGGCCUAACUGAAAGAAGGUUCGAUUCAGUGCAUCCCUCAUUCCCUCCUCCCAGUGACAAGCAAGUACAGUGGUGCCCCGCAAGACGAAUGCCUCGCAAGACGGAAAACCCGCUAGACGAAAGGGUUUUCCGUUUUUGAGUUGCUUCGCAGGACGAAUUCCCCUAUGGGCUUGCUUCGCAAGACGAAAAUGUCUUGCGAGUCUAGAGAUUAUUUUCGCUCCCCCUUUAUCUAAUCUGCUAAGCCUUUAAUAGCCUUUAAUAGCCUUUUAGCAGCUAAUCCCCUAAGCCUUUAAGCCUUUAAUAGCCGCUAAACCGCUAAUAGCGCUAAUCCGUUAAGCCGCUAAUAGGGUUGCUUCGCAAGACGAGAAAACCGCUAGACGAAGACUCUCGCGGAACGGAUUAAUUUCGUCUUGCGAGGCACCACUGUAAUGGAAGGGCUUUGAUUCGACAAAGAGGCACAUAACAAAGGAGGAGAUGCUAUUAAUCACUGGAGAUUAUAUAAAUCCUAGAAUUCUUACAUGUGAAUGGUUUAGCAGAAAAACAUACACAGGUUUUUCAUUAGCAUUUGCUUUAUUUAUCAAAUUCCUGAAAUAAAGCCUAACAGAUGUGACUGUGUUUGCAGAUCAGGCAGCACAUAUUAAUGGGGAAAGAGACUUGAUAUUUAAUUGAAGCAUGUGGGACAACAGCAAUGACACCUGACACCUGGGGAUACCUGCCACAGUUUGGACUAUGUGCUGCCACUGAUUGUUUUCCUUUGACUUCGCUGAUGAUGAUGAUUUAUCAGAUAUUUUUCCCCAAUAUAAAGAGCAAACAAACCCACAUGCAUCAGUGUGCAGCUGAGCAAUGGAUUGAGUCCCCUUGAAUUCAGAACUGUUUUUCCUCAUAAGGCUUGCUUUCCAGACACUUGAAUCCCUCAAUGCCAAGGUUUGGGUGAAUUCAGACAGGAAGGGAAAACACACACACACACACCAAACAACACGUGUGAGGCCUUUUCCAGCACUAAUAGGGGGUAAGUGGAUCCUGUGACUCCACAGCUGAAGGAGGUCUUCAAGAUUAUAAGAGCACUCAGGUAAGUUCUGAGUGGUGCCAUUUGUCCACAGAGCAUUGUGAAAAGAUGUUAUAUGAAGCCGCCAUACACUGAAUUGAGCCAUCUUGGAAUGCAGGGAAGCUGCAUUAUAUUAGAUCAGGCUGUUUGUCCAACAGUCUGUUCUGACAAGCAAUGUCUCUCCAUCAUCUUGGGGAAGCCCUACCACCUACGACCUAUCAUUUUAAGUGGAGAUGCUAAGGACUGAAAAUCGGACAUUCUGCAUGCAAAUUAUGGGCUCUGCCACUUAGCUAGGGUCCAUCUGCAUCCAACCCAUCACCAUAUAUUCUGGCAAUGGUUGGUCACUGUGGGAUACAGGAUACUGGCCUUGGGAGGGACUUUGGCUAAUACUGCAGAGCUUCUCUUAUGUUCUUGGUACCCCUUCCCCCUCCCCCCUUUGCAUCAGGGCUUGCUGUGGUGCAAAGAAUUGGGCCACUGUCCCAUAUGGAUGGCUUUGGGGUUGUUGCUCGUCUAAUAAUCAGAAGCCAUAUUUGGAAAACCGAUGCUUUACUCCUUGCAUUGACAUAUGUUGGGAAGCAAAAACAGGCAGGACUCUUGAGUGUUGUUCAACACUAGGUGCAUGAAACCUGAAGACAUAGUAGCUCCCCCCCAGGGGAUUGACACAUUUCAGAGUAGUAGACCCAGGAGUUUCUGUGCUAGCCCCCUUGCAAGUUUUUGUUUUUCAAAAUGUUUUCAAAAGUAAAAAGUAAUAGCCAUGAUGGAAUUCUAAGAGCUUAGGUAGACAGGUAUUUUUAAAAUAGUAGACUCAAGCUUAUUGCAUCAUCAUGCUGCUAAUGCUAACUUCUUUAGCAUUUGUGUGUUGCCUGUGUGCACAAUAUACUGGAUUGUGUAUAAAAUGUACUAGUCUUUGGGGGACAGAACUAUCAGCAUUUAGAAGGGGGAAAAAACUGUUGAAAGCUACUUAGAGCCUAUAGGAUAAAGGGAUAUAAAAUACAUCUAUCUAUCAAUGAAGCUAUCAGAUAAUUAAUAUUGCGGAGAUUCUCAUUAGUAUUCUGCCAUUCAAAGUACUGUAAUAUAAAAAUUAAUAUAAAUCAAUAUAAAGAAACAAAUACAGUCUUCUGAAGCUGAAGGUUGAACAGUCCUUAGUGGGACUACUCUAAAUUAGUUGCAGCAGAUAGACAGCUACAGCUUUCAAAAUCUGCAUCCUUCUGAAAAUCCUGCAAUGCUUGGUUCCAUAUCCCAAGCAAAUGAAAACUCCCCCACUUCCCCUUUUUAAAAGUGACUUCAAGUAUAUUUAUUGCUUGGAGGUGACCAUUAAUUUUGCAUUGUGGAGCACGUUACAUUUCUCCUGUGUGCACUAUUGCUCUCAGAUCAUUUCCAGUUCUUUUGCACUCGUUCCAUUUGGUUUUGCUGUGGUCUGCAUUCCGAAGAUUAAUAAAAAAAUAUAUUCUGCUACCUCUUCAGUCUGAGCCUUCCUUCUGAAUUGAUGACCUUGAUGUAUUAGUCAAAGCUCAAAUAUAAAUCCUUUUCUUUUUUUUUGCAGAAUGGGACCUACAUGGCAUCCCUGGAUGUUCUUGUGAUAUAUAAUUUUUCCCUCCAACAAGGUGAAACUCAUGCAUAUGAAAGAGGAAUACAACAGUUCUCACCGUCUGGUAUGGAGAACCAUUUGGAGAGAGAAGACCCAAGGCAAAUGUCAAUCCUGAUGGUAAUUUCUGCUUAAGUUCUACAAGCAGAAAACAAUACAAGUGCCAAGAUUGCCAUUUAUGUGACUUCUGAGGUGGAAUAUGGAAUGACUAUGUACAUGGAAAUGAGUGGUUGAGUUCUACUGUCUUGCAUAGAGCAACUCAGCUCUGACUUGCUGAAAAUUAAUAUUUCCAUGACAGAUGGUACAUUGUUCCUCUAUUUUCCAAAACUGGAUUCAGCUCUAUGCUAGAAAUUCCUUCCAUAGAGGGUGCCCAUUGAACACUAAAUAUUACUCUGUUUCAUUUUCUGUUUGUUUCUUUUUUUACACUACACAUGCUGGGAUCUUAAAAAGUACUCCGUUGUGCAGGAAUGGCAUUUGUUUUCUCAUCACAUAAUGGGAAGCAAUUGUUAUGUUCUUAGGACUUAAAAUGAAACCGGAGAAUCAGCUUCAGAAACACAAUAACCUGGAAACUUGGGUCCUACAGACCUUUCAUUUUACAUCUUCUCCAUCAUGGGACAUCCAUGCCAGGGAAUGUUGCAGUCUCUUUGCCAAAUGGGGGUUUAUUCUGUUUGGGGCCACUCCGGCCACUGCCAUUAGGUGAGUCAGGAUGGAUUCUAGCAUGAUGAGAUUUCCUUCCAUGUCCUGACCUAUGUCCUGCCAUGGGGUGGGGAACAUGAGCAAGAAGCCACAACCUGCAUUGUAUUGCAAGGAUGGAAAGCAGGUAAGGAUGCAGUUGAAGGUGAUGAGGAGAGAGCUGUGCGACCAAGAGGCAAACCUUCCCCUUCCCUCUGUCUUUUCUCUCAUGUAUCCUGAAAUAAAGAGAACAAAAUGGGGGACAAAUCUCUUCUGCCCGGGGGCAGCACUGCAAUAAAUGCACUUCGGGACAUACUCUUUAAAAUAUAUUAGGUGUGUGCACCUAAAACUGCACUGCAGAAAUGAAGCAGCCUUCCAUUAAUGGCUCCUUUGGCCACGUCACAGCAGCUCCUUUGCCUCAGACCUUGAAGCAGGUGGGAACACCUGCCCUGAGAGGAAGCGUUUGCAGCUCAAGCUCUUUCUGAUAAGAGGGUAAGAAGAGAUUUAUAAAUGUAUUAUACAUACACAUAACAAAGUACUCCAUGAGCUGUUACUUUUAUCUUUUGUUGGACAAGUGAUCCUGACAGACAGGUCUAUUAUUCUUAUCUGAAAAUGCUUCUUCCAUUCUCACUCUCCCAACACCUCACAGUGCAGCCACAGAUUUUAAUGGAUUUGGAACUGGUAGCUGACUCAGGUCAGCUAGAAGGCCAGGAUGUCAGUGAAAAACAAGUGCAAAUGGUGGGGAGAGAAGGGGGGAAGAUAGAGAGCUGGAGAGAGAGAGAGCACAAAAAAAGACACUGGGCUCAGAUAUACAGGCAAAAGGAUCCCCCAUCACGAGCAGAGGAUGCCGACAAGUUCCUUCUAACUAUGUUGCAUUCGGCCACAAUGAAGCCUACAAAUUACAUUUGCUGUUUCACAUAAAGUCAAUUCUAAUCUUGAGCAAAAGAUGAUGCCCAACUCACCCAUGCUUGAAAUCAGCAUUUAUGUUAAAUCAUUGACUUGAGACUGUACUUCCUUCCACUGUUUGCGCUCUACUCUUGUAUAAGCAAUGAAGAUAUUAAUUAGUGCCCUUGGCAUAGCAGACCGAUCUUUAAAUGGGCACGGGGGGGGGGGAGGGGAAACAGGACUAUUUGCUGCCACCUCAUAAAAUGAUAGGGGUCACUAGUGAUGCAGGAAGACUCCCUGAGGAAGGUAUUUUUACAGUACAGCUCUUGACUGGACAUGUUGGCCUUGUAGUGCCAUCAUUGCUAAAAUAGUCUUCAGCAAAGCAACUAAACCAAAUCUCUCCCCAUCACCUUACACAGUCAAAGUUAUCGCCACAGAGAGCUAUGGAGUGGAAUGGAAGGAAACUUUGGCCAAGGAGUUUUGGCCUGUGGUUUAUUUUAUUUAUUUUUAUUUAUUGAAUUAGUUAGACGCUUUCUCUUGCCCAAGGCAACCCAACGCAACUUACAAGCAAACAGACAGAACUAUAAACAGGGCUGAGGACUUAUCCACACACCUGUUUGCCCAACCGCUUUUUCCUGGGGAAACCUGAUCUUUAGUGCUGAAUUGGAACAAGCAGCAAUCAGGUUUUCUGAAGGUUGUCAUUUGUUCCAAUUUAGCACUAAAGAAUAGGUUUCCUUGCUUCUAUAGGUAGCUAUAAAAUCAUUUCUUUCCUCUUUUGUUAAUGUUUAGAAGAAGCUGCUAUAUAGCUGUAACAUAGCAAAGCUUUCGAUUAGUUUGGACUUGUGGGAGGUCUAGGCAGUAAAUCAAAGCAGAGUUGAAAAAUGAUUAACAUUAUUGCUAGCUUUGCAUGCCAUACUUACCAUUUGUAAUAGUAAUUUUAUCUGUUGCUUCAAUAUUUUCAAUAUUUUCCUUCUAAUUAAUUAAGCUUAAUUAAUCCCAGUUUACCAUGCUGUAGUCUUGGCAUAGAUUAGCUACUCCAAUUUGUGGUUUAAGAUUGCAUAUUCAUAUUCUAUUUUGUUUUUCCAUGUGAUCCUUGUAAUUUAUUUUCCUAGCACAUAAUGUUUCUUAUAUCUUCCCAUUUCCUAAGAUUCACUUCUCCAUAAUGUGGCUUUGGAUUUACUUUUGAUAUCCUCUGUGCUUUAACUUUCAAAACGCAUUUACUGGUUUUCUGCUAAAUAAAUUCAU
RNAcentral lists this long non-coding RNA (13759 nucleotides) under Podarcis lilfordi (Lilford's wall lizard). The record is from RNAcentral. Lineage: Eukaryota; Metazoa; Chordata; Lepidosauria; Squamata; Lacertidae.